This is a regulatory RNA element of Kocuria flava, 61 nucleotides long. It matches the Rfam family "L31-Actinobacteria ribosomal protein leader". NCBI's taxonomy places the organism in Bacteria, Bacillati, Actinomycetota, Actinomycetes, Micrococcales, Micrococcaceae. The record is from Rfam.
CCGGCGCCGGUUCACCGAGGCCUACCAGCGCCCGAUCGAGCGCGGCGAGGACCCGGCGGCC